AAUACGGAGGGGGCUAGCGUUGUUCGGAAUUACUGGGCGUAAAGGGUGCGUAGGCGGCUAUCCAAGUCAGACGUGAAAGGCCUGGGCUCAACCCGGGAACUGCGUUUGAGACUGGGUGGCUGGAGUCCGGGAGAGGUGAGCGGAAUUCCCAGUGUAGAGGUGAAAUUCGUAGAUAUUGGGAAGAACACCGGUGGCGAAGGCGGCUCACUGGACCGGUACUGACGCUGAGGCACGAAAGCGUGGGGAGCAAACA
Molecule: ribosomal RNA, 253 nt
Filed under: uncultured prokaryote
Description: partial 16S ribosomal RNA
Rfam family: Bacterial small subunit ribosomal RNA
Source: RNAcentral